This 439-nucleotide ribosomal RNA is filed under the name uncultured bacterium. RNAcentral describes it as "partial 16S ribosomal RNA". It matches the Rfam family "Bacterial small subunit ribosomal RNA", at positions 339 to 795 of the family's 1533-position model. The record is from RNAcentral.
CUACGGGGUGCUCCAGUGAGGAAUAUUGCACAAUGGGGGGAACACUGAUGCAGCAACGCCGCGUGGAGGAUGACGCAUUUCGGUGUGUAAACUCCUUUUAUAUGUCAAGAAAAUGACGGUAGCAUAUGAAUAAGCACCGGCUAACUCCGUGCCAGCAGCCGCGGUAAUACGGAGGGUGCAAGCGUUACUCGGAAUCACUGGGCGUAAAGGACGCGUAGGCGGGUUGGAAAGUCAGGUGUGAAAUCUUACAGCUUAACUGUAGAACUGCACUUGAAACUUCUAAUCUAGAGUAUGGGAGGGGGAGAUGGAAUUAGUGGUGUAGGGGUAAAGUCCGUAGAUAUCACUAGGAAUACCUAAAGCGAAGGCGAUCUCCUGGAACAUUACUGACGCUAAGGCGUGAAAGCGUGGGGAGCAAACAGGAUUAGAUACCCUCGUAGUC